AAAGCACUGUUUCGGNUGCGGGCUGCGAGAGCGGUACCAAAUCGAGAUAAACUCUGAAUACCCAGAGAACACAUUGCCAGUGAGACGGUGGGGGAUAAGCUUCAUCGUCAAGAGGGAAACAGCCCAGACCACCAGCUAAGGUCCCCAAAUCAUCGCUAAGUGGCAAAGGAGGUGGGAGUGCAUAGACAACCAGGAGGUUUGCCUAGAAGCAGCCACCCUUGAAAGAGUGCGUAAUAGCUCACUGGUCAAGCGCUCCUGCGCCGAAAAUGAAUGGGACUAAGCGAUGUACCGAAGCUGUGGACUUGUAUUGAGUUACAAGUGGUAGGGGAGCGUUCUGUAUAGGAAGAAGCACUAGCGGCGAGCAGGUGUGGACAGUACAGAAGUGAGAAUGUCGGCUUGAGUAGCGCAAACAUUGGUGAGAAUCCAAUGCCCCGAAACCCCAAGGGUUCCAGAGCCAGGUUCGUCCACUCUGGGUUAGUCGGGUCCUAAGGCGAGGUCGAACGGCGUAGUCGAUGGACACAGGGUGAAUAAUCCCUGACUAAAGUAUAGGAGCAUUGCUAGGGACGCAUUCUGGUAGGCUACACCCUAAUUGGAUUGGGAGGAGUUUACGAACUCCGAGUAGUUGAAACGAGUGCCAAGAAAAGCUAGUAAUGUGUUGAGAAUACUUUACCCGUACCCGAAACCGACACAGGUGGGGAGGUUGAGAAUACUAAGGGGCGCGAGAUAACUCUCUCUAAGGAACUCGGCAAAAUGGCCCCGUAACUC
RNAcentral lists this ribosomal RNA (765 nucleotides) under Fischerella muscicola SAG 1427-1 = PCC 73103. RNAcentral's name for it is "bacterial LSU rRNA". It matches the Rfam family "Bacterial large subunit ribosomal RNA", at positions 904 to 1736 of the family's 2925-position model. The record is from RNAcentral. Lineage: Bacteria; Bacillati; Cyanobacteriota; Cyanophyceae; Nostocales; Hapalosiphonaceae.